This 469-nucleotide ribosomal RNA is filed under the name uncultured bacterium. RNAcentral's name for it is "bacterial SSU rRNA". It matches the Rfam family "Bacterial small subunit ribosomal RNA", at positions 33 to 507 of the family's 1533-position model. The record is from RNAcentral.
ACGCUGGCGGCGUGCUUAACACAUGCAAGUCGAGCGGAAAGGCUCCUUCGGGGGUACUCGAGCGGCGAACGGGUGAGUAACACGUGAGUAAUCUGCCCUUGGCUUUGGGAUAAGCCCCGGAAACGGGGUCUAAUACCGGAUACGACGCACUCUCGCAUGGGAUGUGUGUGGAAAGUUUUUUCGGCCAGGGAUGUGCUCGCGGCCUAUCAGCUUGUUGGUGGGGUAAUGGCCUACCAAGGCUUCGACGGGUAGCCGGCCUGAGAGGGUGACCGGCCACACUGGGACUGAGACACGGCCCAGACUCCUACGGGAGGCAGCAGUGGUGAAUAUUGGACAAUGGGCGGAAGCCUGAUCCAGCAACGCCGCGUGAGGGAUGACGGCCUUCGGGUUGUAAACCUCUUUCAGUACCGACGAAGCGCCGAUGAUGGUGGUGACGGUAGGUACAGAAGAAGCACCGGCCAACUACGUG